RNAcentral lists this ribosomal RNA (459 nucleotides) under Triticum aestivum (bread wheat). Its description in RNAcentral is "partial small subunit ribosomal RNA". Lineage: Eukaryota; Viridiplantae; Streptophyta; Magnoliopsida; Poales; Poaceae. The record is from RNAcentral.
AUGGCUGGUUCUCAAAAUAAUAUCAGUGUUCUUCAGCAUUCUCCACUGUUUGCAAGGCUUGCAGAAAGCCACUCCCAGGAGGUCAAGUUUAAGGUCAAUGGCCAUCAUUACAACAAGGGAUAUUAUUUAGCCGAUGGUAUCUAUCCUCAGUGGUCCACUCUUAUGAAGACCAUACCCAAUCCGCAAGGAGAGAAGAGACAGAUGUUUACCCAAAUGCAGGAGAGUGCUAGGAAGGAUGUGGAGCGUCCUUUUGGUGUGCUUCAGUCUUGGUGGGGUAUCGUUCCUAACCUUGCAUUGACACGGAGCACUCAGAAGUUUUGGGAGCCGAUGACUUUUUGUGUGAUCAUGCACAACAUGAUCAUGGAGGAUGAGCGCGACGAUAGCAUCUACGACCAAGGAUUAGAUUUACAGGGUGGAAAUGUUGAGCCUGAGCAUCCACCUCCUGCAACCUAUGAGUAG